GAUCAUGGCUCGGGACGAACGCUGGCGGCGUGCUUAACACAUGCAAGUCGAACGAAGAGCGAUGGAAGCUUGCUUCUAUCAAUCUUAGUGGCGAACGGGUGAGUAACGCGUAAUCAACCUGCCCUUCAGGGGGGACAACAGUUGGAAACGACUGCUAAUACCGCAUACGAUCCAAUCUCGGCAUCGGGACUGGAUGAAAGGUGGCCUCUAUUUAUAAGCUAUCACUGAAGGAGGGGAUUG
RNAcentral lists this ribosomal RNA (240 nucleotides) under uncultured bacterium. RNAcentral's name for it is "partial 16S ribosomal RNA". It matches the Rfam family "Bacterial small subunit ribosomal RNA", at positions 15 to 233 of the family's 1533-position model. The record is from RNAcentral.